Molecule: ribosomal RNA, 498 nt
Filed under: uncultured bacterium
Lineage: Bacteria
Description: partial 16S ribosomal RNA
Rfam family: Bacterial small subunit ribosomal RNA
Source: RNAcentral
ACUCAAAGGAAUUGACGGGGACCCGCACAAGCGGUGGAUUAUGUGGAUUAAUUCGAUGCAACGCGAAAAACCUUACCUACCCUUGACAUGUCCGGAAGGCUGCUGAAAGGCGGCUGUGCCCGAAAGGGAACUGGAACACAGGUGCUGCAUGGCUGUCGUCAGCUCGUGUCGUGAGAUGUUGGGUUAAGUCCCGCAACGAGCGCAACCCUUGUCAUUAGUUGCUACAUUCAGUUGGGCACUCUAAUGAGACUGCCGGUGACAAACCGGAGGAAGGUGGGGAUGACGUCAAGUCCUCAUGGCCCUUAUGGGUAGGGCUUCACACGUAAUACAAUGGCGCGUACAGAGGGCUGCUAAGCCGCGAGGUAGAGCCAAUCCCUUAAAGCGCGUCGUAGUCCGGAUUGCAGUCUGCAACUCGACUGCAUGAAGUCGGAAUCGCUAGUAAUCGCGGAUCAGCAUGUCGCGGUGAAUACGUUCCCGGGUCUUGUACACACCGCCCGU